CUACCUGUUCUGGCCCACAUCUCAGUGCACCCACUCAAUGGGCCCAGUCUAAUCCCCUGAUAUCACUGCCUGCUCAGUACAGGCCCUGCCUGGUUGUUCUUGUAGCCCCGAGCCUUGGAGACCCAAUUUAGGAUCCCAUGCCUCACAACCUGUCCUUCUCUCAGCCUCCUCCCUCCUUCAGCUCACAGUUCAUAUCUGAGACACUCCAGGCCCAAUCCGAUGCUGGGGACCAAUGUCUAGGCUCUGUCCUGGCCUUGCUGUGUGACCCCAGGAAAUGCGGUUUGGUAUCAGAUCACAUGUUUGGUGGUCUGCCCAACUAGACCACACCUGGGAUGAAGGGACCUGACCAGCCUUAUUAUUUAUCCCAGAGCCAGCCUCCAGCCCCCCUCUGCCUGCUGACCCUUCUGCUGCCACCCCUCAGUCCAGGGGCCCCCAUCUCCCCAGCUGAGCCUAUCAAUCAAGCCUACAGCCUGGCCCUCU
Molecule: non-coding RNA, 480 nt
Organism: Manis javanica (Malayan pangolin)
Lineage: Eukaryota; Metazoa; Chordata; Mammalia; Pholidota; Manidae
Source: RefSeq, a predicted model, not a curated record